This is a long non-coding RNA of Bombus impatiens (common eastern bumble bee), 824 nucleotides long. RefSeq lists it as uncharacterized. NCBI's taxonomy places the organism in Eukaryota, Metazoa, Arthropoda, Insecta, Hymenoptera, Apidae. The transcript is spliced from 4 exons. The record is from RefSeq and is a predicted model, not a curated record.
CGCGAGCCGACUGGACACGGACACACACGACGGACGAUUUCUUACUGUUAAUUCGAAGACAAACACGAACGAACGGACCGGGCCGGCUUGGCGAGCAACGCGUCUCCAAGACAAGUCUCUUAAGGAAACGAUCAUUCUUAUAUACUAUAUAUACAUAUACAUAGUAACGUUCUCGCUCGCCGCUCAAGGAAACAGUUCGACGACGUGGUGUGACACGUAAUACGAGUGAAAACAUUCGAAACACGCGCGCUCCGACCUGAUCACACGAGACCUCUUCGAAGAAACGGGCAGUGACUGUGAGGAAACGAACAGGAUAUCACGGACUGCUAUCCAGUGCGCUGUUUUCGUUUGUGAAACACCGUUUACGCACGUCCUCGAACACGUCUUCUUGGGAUCGCCGCGAUCGUACAGAUUGACGAAUGACGACGUAACAGAGAGCUGGCUGGUGCGCGGAUACCGGGACACAAGAGGGGACAGCAUCUUUCAAAUCGCCACAGCAACGUUUAUCAAACCAUAAAACUGGUGUGUCGUUGACCAUCCGGAAAACACGGGAUUGGUUGCGCAAAGGGUUGGCUCAGCAUGCGUGCAAUCCAUCAAAGAGUCAAGAGUUGGCCCUCCUUCAAUCGGCGUUCGCAUUCUUCGAGGCGAGCAAGAGCGCGCGCGUGCACGAACGCCGAAAGAAUCGUGCAUAUGCAUAUCGAUCGAUCGGUGGUCGGUCGGUCGGUCGCGUGUUACACGCCUUGCACGAACGAGCUCCAAGUAUAAGUACGUAAUACGCAGGAAUGAAGGGGCAUGCGUCACGGGACAUCUGCCGCGGGCGCGUG